AGAGUUUGAUCCUGGCUCAGAAUCAACGCUGGCGGCGUGCCUAACACAUGCAAGUCGAACGAGAAAGGGUAGCAAUACCUGAGUAAAGUGGCGCACGGGUGAGUAACACGUGACUAACCUACCCUGGAGUGGGGGAUAACUGGGAGAAAUCCUAGCUAAUACCGCAUAAUACCCACGGGUCAAAGGAGCAAUUCGCUUCAGGAGGGGGUCGCGGUCGAUUAGUUAGUUGGCGGGGUAAUGGCCCACCAAGACUGUGAUCGAUAUCCGGCCUGAGAGGGCGCACGGACACACUGGAACUGAAACACGGUCCAGACUCCUACGGGAGGCAGCAGUGGGGAAUUUUGCGCAAUGGGGGAAACCCUGACGCAGCAACGCCGCGUGGAGGAUGAAGUCCUUCGGGACGUAAACUCCUUUCGAUCGGGACGAUAAUGACGGUACCGGAAGAAGAAGCCCCGGCUAACUUCGUGCCAGCAGCCGCGGUAAUACGAGGGGGGCGAGCGUUGUUCGGAAUUAUUGGGCGUAAAGGGUGCGUAGGCGGUUUGGUAAGUCUCGUGUGAAAUCUACAGGCUCAACUUGUAGUCUGCACGAGAAACUGCCGGGCUUGAGUGUGGGAGAGGUGAGUGGAAUUCCUGGUGUAGCGGUGAAAUGCGUAGAUAUCAGGAGGAACACCUGUGGCGAAAGCGGCUCACUGGACCACAACUGACGCUGAUGCACGAAAGCUAGGGGAGCAAACAGGAUUAGAUACCCUAGUAGUCC
This 756-nucleotide ribosomal RNA is filed under the name uncultured bacterium. RNAcentral's name for it is "bacterial SSU rRNA". It matches the Rfam family "Bacterial small subunit ribosomal RNA", at positions 8 to 796 of the family's 1533-position model. The record is from RNAcentral.